GAUUUUCUCCUUUGACUUAUUUCCUUGAUCCACGCUGGGGGAAGAUUGUUUCGUGUUUGCAUUUGUUGCCCUGGAAAAAAGCAACAAGAAGACAUCUCUGCUAGCCACAGGAGCCAAUCACUGGUGAAGCUGGAGGUCACGUAAUCAUCCUGAAAUUCUAUUUAAAUAGCAGCGAUGGGCUGGAGGACCACAGACAGCCCCCGGCGGGACUUCCCAGUGGCUCCUGCAUUUUACUUGCAUCGUAAGAACCUGAAGCCAGAAACAGAAUGAAAAGACUGUUCAGAAGACUUUGGCCCAUCCUGGUGGCUGCCAUUUUGUAUGGACCUCAUCUGGCUUCUGGGAACAACAGUACAGCUGCUUCUAAUGUGACAGCUGCUCCUGUCACCCCCGCAACCACCCCCUCACAUGGCAAUGUUCCUGCGGUGGCAAUCUCACCCCUCUUCAGUUUUGUACUUUUGUAUCUGUUCUAUGACUGUGAACGUAACUUGUAAAAAAGAAUUCAUCCUUUGAUCUCUCAAAUUGCAAAAUGAAAUUUUCCUGAAUUUAACAAGCUUUCAUCAAAGUCAAUGAGUUUUUAAUAGCAACCAAAUGGAAAGUGGAGGAAUGUCCAACUAGAGAAAAUUGGAAAGACAAAAUGGCAAAAUAUGCUGAAAUGGCAAAAUUAACGAACUACAUAAACUGAAGACCUUUUAAAGAAUUUGAAAAGAAAUGAGAAACUUAUUACUCCUAUUAAAGAUAAAGAUGGGAAAUAAAUGAUACAGACUAAAUUUGAGUUUUGAUUUAUACAAAGUAAUAGAAAUGAUGUUUGUUUUAAGUUUUUGAUACAAUUAUAGAUAUAUGUGUUACAACUGAUCAGUAUAAUUUAAUCAGUAUUAAUACAUUUUUAUGAUAUAAUAUCUUAUAUAUAAUUAGUUUUAGAUAUGAGAUAGGAUUGUUAGUAUACCUUUUUGAACCAUUUUAAAAUGCAUUACUUAUUUUUUCUGAACCAAUAAUCAUAAAGCAUAGCUAUGUCACUGUUGUAAAAGUAUAUCAAUAUAUAAUGUUAAAUAUUUUACAAUUUAUAAUAUUUAAUGUCAAAUAUUUUUUUUUCAUUUUAAACCAUCUCAAUCAUAUAGUUUAUUAAACAUCUAAUAAGGAGAUUCAUUGGGAUGGGGAGAGGAAAUAUUCCUGAGGUUUGUGUUGUAUACCUGAAAACUAUAUUUUAAAUGCCAUGGUUAUUGCAUUUUGAUAGUCCUUGUAAUGCAUAUCUUUAAUUUUCUUUUAAAUGUAAACUUUUGUUCUCUUUCCCCUUUUCUUUUCUGUACCCCUUAUUUGUUUUGAAAAAAUAAAAAUAUUUACUCCCCCCCAA
Molecule: long non-coding RNA, 1348 nt
Organism: Eublepharis macularius
Lineage: Eukaryota; Metazoa; Chordata; Lepidosauria; Squamata; Eublepharidae
Exons: 2
Source: RefSeq, a predicted model, not a curated record